This 332-nucleotide ribosomal RNA is filed under the name uncultured eukaryote. Its description in RNAcentral is "partial 18S ribosomal RNA". It matches the Rfam family "Eukaryotic small subunit ribosomal RNA", at positions 1470 to 1796 of the family's 1831-position model. The record is from RNAcentral.
CCCUUAGAUGUCCUGGGCUGCACGCGCGCUACACUGGAAGUUACGGAUUGAGAUACUACCUUGUCCGAAAUGGUCCGGGUAAUCACCUAAAAGCUUGUCAUAAUUGGAAUGGAUUAUUGUAACUAGUAAUCCUGAACGAGGAAUUCCUAGUAAGUCCCAGUCAACAGCUGGUACUGAUUACGUCCCUGCCCUUUGUACACACCGCCCGUCGCUACUACUGAUUGGACGUUUAGGCAAGAUUUUUAAACACUGACAGUGUGUAGUUCACGCUAUACUACAGUGAGAAGAAGAAGAUCGAGCUUACUUGUCUAGAGGAAGUAAAAGUCGUAACA